This 240-nucleotide unclassified non-coding RNA is filed under the name soil metagenome. Its description in RNAcentral is "partial contains 5.8S ribosomal RNA, internal transcribed spacer 2, and large subunit ribosomal RNA". The record is from RNAcentral.
AACGCACGAGACCUGCGGACCUGCGGAAGGAUCAUUAAUGGGAAGCUGCCCCUCGUGGGUAGACCUCCCACCCUCUGUGAACUUACCUUUGUUGCUUUGGCAGGCCCGUCCUCUGGACCGCCGGCUUCGGCUGGCCCGUGCCUGCCAGAGGAUUCCAAACCCUGUCUGUCAGUGUUGUCUGAGUCUAUAUGAAAUCGUUAAAACUUUUAACAAUGGAUCUCUAGAUCGGAAGAGCACACG